CCUACGGGGGGCAGCAGUGGGGAAUAUUGGACAAUGGGGGGAACCCUGAUCCAGCCAUGCCGCGUGUGUGAAGAAGGCCCUCGGGUUGUAAAGCACUUUCAGUGAGGAAGAACGCCUGGUGGUUAAUACCCAUCAGGAAAGACAUCACUCACAGAAGAAGCACCGGCUAACUCCGUGCCAGCAGCCGCGGUAAUACGGAGGGUGCGAGCGUUAAUCGGAAUUACUGGGCGUAAAGCGCGCGUAGGUGGCUUGAUAAGCCGGUUGUGAAAGCCCCGGGCUCAACCUGGGAACGGCAUCCGGAACUGUCAAGCUAGAGUGCAGGAGAGGAAGGUAGAAUUCCCGGUGUAGCGGUGAAAUGUGUAGAGAUCGGGAGGAAUACCAGUGGCGAAGGCGGCCUUCUGGACUGACACUGACACUGAGGUGCGAAAGCGUGGGUAGCAAACAGGAUUAGAUACCCGAGUAGUC
RNAcentral lists this ribosomal RNA (465 nucleotides) under Vreelandella stevensii. RNAcentral's name for it is "partial 16S ribosomal RNA". It matches the Rfam family "Bacterial small subunit ribosomal RNA", at positions 338 to 795 of the family's 1533-position model. The record is from RNAcentral. Lineage: Bacteria; Pseudomonadati; Pseudomonadota; Gammaproteobacteria; Oceanospirillales; Halomonadaceae.